RNAcentral lists this unclassified non-coding RNA (328 nucleotides) under fungal sp. Its description in RNAcentral is "partial internal transcribed spacer region". The stretch from base 1 to 46 matches the Rfam family "Eukaryotic small subunit ribosomal RNA", at positions 1786 to 1831 of the family's 1831-position model. The record is from RNAcentral. Lineage: Eukaryota; Fungi.
AAGUCGUAACAAGGUUUCCGUAGGUGAACCUGCGGAAGGAUCAUCAUUGAACCUCUAAAUAUCAUAUCACACCAUACCCUUCUCCUCUGUGUGAACGGUUGCCGGGAGAGAGAAGAGCUCGCUCCUCUCUCGCUCGGCCGAGGGCCGGGGGAGCGCCUUGCGUGCUCGCCCGCCUUCAUUUUUCCCGUCCUUUUCGGAAAAAGACUCCUUUUUCUCGAUAAAGACAACCUUUAUUGCUUCUGAUCUCUUGAACAUAACCAAAGAGUCUCCUAACCGAGUACUCUAUUUAACCAAAAGACAACUUUUAACAACGGAUCUCUUGGCUCUC